UGGGGAAUUUUGGACAAUGGGCGCAAGCCUGAUCCAGCAAUGCCGCGUGCAGGAUGAAGGCCUUCGGGUUGUAAACUGCUUUUGUACGGAACGAAAAGGCUCUGGCUAAUACCUGGGGCUGAUUACGGUACCGUAAGAAUAAGCACCGGCUAACUACGUGCCAGCAGCCGCGGUAAUACGUAGGGUGCGAGCGUUAAUCGGAAUUACUGGGCGUAAAGCGUGCGCAGGCGGUUUUGUAAGACAGGUGGG
RNAcentral lists this ribosomal RNA (249 nucleotides) under uncultured Comamonadaceae bacterium. Its description in RNAcentral is "partial 16S ribosomal RNA". It matches the Rfam family "Bacterial small subunit ribosomal RNA", at positions 355 to 596 of the family's 1533-position model. The record is from RNAcentral. Lineage: Bacteria; Pseudomonadati; Pseudomonadota; Betaproteobacteria; Burkholderiales; Comamonadaceae.